Lingula anatina is the source of this 305-nucleotide long non-coding RNA. NCBI's taxonomy places the organism in Eukaryota, Metazoa, Brachiopoda, Lingulata, Lingulida, Lingulidae. The record is from RefSeq and is a predicted model, not a curated record.
GGACCAAAUCCAAAGCUCUUGUCCGUCACCUGACAACUCUUGGGGGGACAGGGCAGGAAAACACCAUAUAUAGGAUGAUGGAAGCGCUGAUGACAUCUCCUAUGGCAACUUUAUUCAACUGGAAGGGCCGUGCAAGAGGGGAUGGCAGCAAAGAAAAACAUGGUCUGUGCAAAAGCAGAAUUGCCAGAGUCCUGCAUGAUGCUGCCAAAAAAAAUGGUAUCAAGGAAAGUGACGCAGAAAGAAUCAUGAAGACAUGGUUGAAAAAUGCCAGUGACAGGGAGGGGGGAAGGCAGCGAAGAUUGUUG